Molecule: ribosomal RNA, 372 nt
Filed under: uncultured organism
Description: bacterial SSU rRNA
Rfam family: Bacterial small subunit ribosomal RNA
Source: RNAcentral
CGUAGGAGGCAAGCGUUAUCCGGAUUCACUGGGCGUAAAGCGCGUGCAGGUGGCGCGGUAAGUUGGGUGUGAAAUCUCCCGGCUCAACUGGGAGAGGUCAUUCAAUACUACCGUGCUUGAGAGCAGAAGAGGAAGAUGGAAUUCCCGGUGUAGUGGUGAAAUGCGUAGAUAUCGGGAGGAACACCAGUGGCGAAGGCGAUCUUCUGGUCUGUUUCUGACACUCAGACGCGACAGCUAGGGUAGUAAACGGGAUUAGAGACCCCGGUAAUCCUAGCCGUAAACGAUGUGAACUUGGCGUUGGUGGGUUAAACUCCAUCAGUGCCGUAGCAAACGCGAUAAGUUCACCGCCUGGGGACUACGGCCGCAAGGUUA